This 4053-nucleotide long non-coding RNA is filed under the name Homo sapiens (human). RNAcentral's name for it is "HSALNT0404114". Lineage: Eukaryota; Metazoa; Chordata; Mammalia; Primates; Hominidae. The record is from RNAcentral.
GGAUCCAAGAAAGAAGUUGCAUUUCCUAAAUGUUUAUAAACCUUUAUUUAUAAAUUAUAACUUAGUUUCUCUCCCUCUCUGCCCUUAGUUCUCCUUUUAAAGGUAGGAGCAGGCUCCUUGUGUUCUUUUAGGGAAGAUUUAGCACUUCUUAGAUUGCUUGUCUCUGGAGCUACUACCGGGUCACACUGCUCCUUCACCUGUCUGCAAAACUGGCACCAGGAAGUUACCUGAGCCAGGUGUGUUCAGUCAGACCUGUCUCCUUCCAGGGCACUGCAUCCUUGAGGGGCAUAGAAUAAGGCUCACCCUUGGUUCACUUUGUUCUAGAUCCAGACUUCCCCGGCCUUAUCCCACCAUCAGCUGCACCAAAAGCCCCACUCCUGAGGUGGCUUUUAUGAGAUAAAGGUAAAGGACAGAAGAGAGAGAAGGUAGACAAUAACCUCUGUCUGACUUGCCUCUUGUAUUUGCCCAUGAAUAAGCAACAAACUCAUCUUUGCAGACAUAAAAGUUAAUAUUAACUCAUGUAAUGGCUUUCUGACAAUUUUCGGUGUGGAAUUAUUUUUACUUGAAAGAAUUAAAACAACAUAUUUAGAGAUACAUGAUUUAAUCCGGGGUGCAAUGCUUGAAUUGCUGCAGGGAAAAAAAUAACGGUAGCUGUAUCACUUACAUAUUAAAGACUGAAGAAAAUGAUUAGGGAGGUGUAUAUGCCUUCAACAAGCAUUCCCACGGGCCAGUCAUUGACAGCUUUAUCAUGCUUACAGCUCAGUCUCUGGACUCUUAUGUUGGCUCUAAGACUCUGACGCAUCCACCACACAAAUACAUUUCAUAAGCAAUCCUGGACUCUGAGGCAAAGUAUGCAAAAAACUUCGUGGGCUGCUUUGAGUCUCUAAACAGAUGAGAGGGGAUUGCACAGGAAAGGAUAUUCCAAAGAUUUGACAUGUACUGAUUAAAUCCGAAUAACUUUGCCUCUCUAUUCCGUGCCUAAAGCCACAUAUUGGUGAGUUUUCUUAUAACGAGUAUGUCAUUGUUAUUCAGGUAUAUAAUUGCACACACCACACACACGCGCACACACACACACACACACGCCCCAAGAAAGCACAGCCCUUUCGAGAUUUCCUCGAUGCAGAAGCAGAGUGAGGUUGUGCUGAGCCUUAUGGGAAAGAGCCCAGAGACCUGCUUUUGUUGGCUUCUCAGGUUUGCUGGCAUGUGCAGCCUGGGGUCUCGCUCUCUUUCCCCCCAAAACACUGGCUGUCUGCACUGGUGAGAAGUGUGAGGAGAGGAAAUUGGGGAAAUAAGACUUUCUGUAAAAUGACCACAACUGUUGGUGGGAGGAAGGAGUGGAAACAUGGAGAGAGGACGUUUUAGAAAAAUGUGUUUUCCUUAAGCAACCAGAAUCACAAAGUUCAACUAAGGCAAUUUCUGUAAAACCCCCAGACUAUUUAUACAUUUAUUUAAUUCAGUGAAGAAAGGUCUGUUCCGUUAUUUGAUGAGCGUUUCUGACAUGCUGCUACCAGGAAUUUGGUUAAACUCUUCUAAUCUUCAGUAUUUUGGGAAGACUUGCCUUGUGGCCUCUGGGCCAUUCCCUGGAUGGUCACUUAUUAUAUUAACAGAGAAGGAGAAAAACUGCUAAAAAGUAAAACCCUAGAAGGUAUGGGAAGAAAGAACAGCGCCCGGGGAAGCUGUGUGUGAGUGGGGAAAACAACUUCCUCUUCUGAACAAUCUUUCAGAGGACAUUCCUCCUAGAGUUUAAAACAUUACAGUCUCCAGAGCCCAGCGCCAAUUCCGUGUCAGCCCACAACCCGCUCUGGUUGCACAGCUUCACGAGUCACAAGGACUGGAUGGACAAGUGUGUGUGCCUAGUGACUGCCUUCUCCCAGCACAUGCACCAUGUCCCGGUGGCAUUGCCGGAGAUGGUCCGUGCCCUCUCAGCCCAGCAGCAGACCCUCAGGCAGAUCACCAUCUGUGGAGACCGCCAGGCCAAGGACACCAAAGUUCUGGUGCAGUGCGUCCACCCUGUCUACAUUCCUAACAUGGUGCUGAUUCUGGCUGAUGGGGACCCCUCGAGUUUCCUGUCCCACUGGCUGCCUUUCCUGAGUACCCUCCGAAGGCAGGAAGACCAGGCCACUGCGUAUGUGUGUGAGAAUCAAGCCUGCUCAAUGCUCAUCAUGGAUCCCUGUGAAUUACGAAAACUGCUACAUCCGUGACUGCCCCAACCCUCUUGGGCUGGGGCAGAAGGUAGAGCUUCCCAACUGACUAAAGACUCAGGUCCUGCAGGGCCGUGUAGAACUUGUGGCCAUCCCUGAGCACCCUGCCACCAGGAAGCUGAAAAGAAGGCCCAGGUGCUCCCUCCUUUGGAAUUGGUGGGAAAUUUAAACCCCACAAGCCUCUACCCCUGUGCAAAAGCCUUCACCCCAGCCUCAUCUCUACCCACAAUAAACGCCAAGCCAGUCUCUCUUCUCUGGAUUCUAAAGCUAUUUUUGGAUCAUUAUGUAAGCAAUAAACCUUUCCAUACUUUCUUAGUGGAUUCAUAUAUGGUAUCAUCAGUCUCAACAUCUGAACCAAAUUUUGGGUGAGAAGUUCGUCCUGCCUCUGGGAAAUCUCUUUAGAAGAGUUUGCCAAUAGACAUGUCAUCUUUGCCCAUUGCCCCUUUCCCUUCCUCUUGCUGCUGGUGGACCAAACAGCCCUCUUGUAACACAGAGUACCACGCCUGUGCCAAGGAUGACUGAGUAGAAAUGAAAAGGAACUGGGUCCCUGGUGACAUUGUGAGUUACCCUCCCACCCAUAGACUGUCUGCUUCUGGACCCUUCAGUCAGGAAGAACAAGCUGAAUGUGUGCAGCCGCUUAUAGUUGAAGAUAAUCCCAAACAUAAGGCUUAUGAUUGAAUAAUCUUUUAUGACUUCAGGAGCAGAAAUCAGUAUUUUUCCUGGGAUGUGAACAGGCAACAAACAUAAUACUUGUACCACACAUAGGAGUAAGCCAUUCUCAGUGGAGGGCCCCUGUAGCUAAGGGACACUGGAAUUUCCAGGGCUAACCUCAUUUUGGGUGAAACGUUAGGGGAAACAAGGCUGCAUAAAUUCACAGGGAGAGCCUGUUUCCAUCACUGGAAAAUGGUCUGAAAAUCAGUCUACAGUAGAUUUUAAAGAUAGUUUCAGAACAAAGCAUCUGACUUGGGAAUCCACCCAUAUGUGUCUAUCUCAUGCUGUUAAUGGGCUUAAGAAAAUGAAAGUGUCAGGAAGAAACGGCAUGUUUAUGGAGCACCAAGUCAGCCACUAGCAAAGUACUAGAUAUGCAGACAGAGGAGAAUACAGGCUUCCUCCCCUACCCCCUGGUGGAGGGUAUUUGUGCAGUAAUACUCUAAAAAGUCAUUAAGAGAAUGACAUCAGGUGCCUUCUAAUAGAAUUAGAAUUUGAUUUCAUUUGUCCAAAGCUUUUGUUAUGUUUAUAUUUUUCUAUAUGGAUACAAAUACCAGCCAGAGCAAGUGACGGUGAAGAAAAUCAUGUCAGCCAGGUACAGGAAACUGAAAGCUAGACUCACCAUCCCUGCCUCAAUAAGCCCAAUGGCAUUUCUCAUCCUGACCUGGCAGGUAAGACAGAAAACAGAGGGGUUGGGAUGCAGAGCCUCCUGGGCCUCCAUAUAAGCAUUGGGAUGAAACAAUAUAAUAUUUAUUUUUUGAAGAAAUGCAUGAAUAAAAAGUCUAUGGGCAAAAGGAAAUAAUACAAUUGUGGAACAGAAAUAUUAACACAAUCUAAACCAUUUAUCAUUAGAAAAAUGAUAUAUUCUGGAAAAAAACAUUUCUAAUUGAAGCUCAUCAAAGAUCCAAAUGUUUUAUCUUUAUAUUUCACUUAGUUGUCAGUAAAAAUUGCAAACAACUUCUAGAGUGCUUUACAGAUGAACAGAUGUUGAUAUCUUUAAGCGGUAUUUUAUAAGUAACUUUAAGUACUCAGUAUCUUAGUAAUUUUGCUAGUCCACAUUUCAAAGACAAAAUUUGAAACAUUCAUAUUAUUGAUAGAGUAAAUGUGCAAUCAAAACAAAGAAAAAAACAGGAGGACAAAUUAU